RNAcentral lists this transfer RNA (69 nucleotides) under Leucosyrinx sp. MNHN IM 2013-19304. RNAcentral describes it as "tRNA-Arg". Lineage: Eukaryota; Metazoa; Mollusca; Gastropoda; Neogastropoda; Turridae. The record is from RNAcentral.
GUAUAAAAAGCGAAAAAUUGCAUUCGGUUUCGGCCCGUACUUUGGGGGUGUAGAGUCCCUCUUUAUACU